CGCAGUCGCGGGACUCUCCCAAAAUAAGACAUGGCAUCCCGCGUAUAGUGGGAGGCGCCGCGACGCCCUGCGAUUUCACAAACGCGGCAGGUUGAACUACGCUAAACCGUCGUCCCGGCCUAAAAUAAGCGCUUUUAUAUGACUCUGAUGCCUGAUCUUUCUUUUUCUUAGGGUACCCCCAUAGAAAAUAGUCGCAGGGAUUUAGGUCUGUUGACCUAGCCGGCCGCUCUAUUGGCCCUCUUCGUCCUAUAGAAGAUAAACCACAAAUUAUCUGUCGGGACAGCAGGGUCUUGCUCGUCUGGGUAUCAGUGGCGAAGGGUACGAGUAGACAAGGUAGACACUGUCUACCCAAAAUUAUCCAGUUAUUUGUUAUUAAUUUAUUACGUAAUUAUUUCAUGUAAUUGUUGAAUUAAAAUUUAAAAAAAAAUUAACACAGAACGUAACCUCUCCCUACUAUUAUUAAAUAGAAUCUAAACAUGAUUAAUCCGAAGGCGAGCCCCGCCUGACGCACCAAUUAAAAUAAAAAUGUAGGGUUCACACCUAAUUAAGGUAUACGAGCCCCAGGGAGACACAUUGAUAUUUGUCUUCCGAAAUUUGGAGCAUCUAAUCAAACCAAAUACGUAUCAAACAGGUGAUAGAGGCACAGAUUUACAGAAUAUAGAAAUAUAGAAAAUACAUUAUAAAAUAAUAGAAAAUACGCGUGCGAGCGCCAGGCUUCAGACACGCCUCCUGGGUGAUGGAUUUCCAUCACCCGCCUAGUACGGUGGCAAAGGGUUUAAUUUGCUUCAAGCCUCCGCGCCGCGUGCUUCUAAUUUUCUUUGCGUAGUACGCGUGUUUAUGAUUAAUAAUUAAAUUAAAAUAAUAUAUUUGUUUUUUUUUAAAUAUUUUUUUAGUAUUAUUUUUGUUGACAUGGGGGGUAUAAGUGUGUAUAUUUUUAUUGCUCCAGCCACAGUGGUGGAGGAACGACGUUAUUUAGAUUUCCAAAAGAUGAGUUAAUAAGUUAAUAUUUCGAGAUAAUGAAAAGCUAUUUUACUCCCCCAUGUGAUAACUUUCCUUUCCAGUAUUUAAUAAAAUUAUUUAUACGACUUAAAAUAUUUUAUACUUUAAAAUUCGCCAACAGAGAUUUAUCAUCUGCCAAAAAAUCAGAUAAAACUAAAAGAAAAUUAAAAAUUUUGUUUCAUCUUUAAUGUUUUAUUAAAUAAGAUCCUUAAAUCUGUUAAAUUAAAUAAAAAUGUACCUAAGAACCCUUA
RNAcentral lists this long non-coding RNA (1250 nucleotides) under Anthonomus grandis grandis. RNAcentral's name for it is "uncharacterized LOC126738028". Lineage: Eukaryota; Metazoa; Arthropoda; Insecta; Coleoptera; Curculionidae. The record is from RNAcentral.